GUCGUAACAAGGUUUCCGUAGGUGAACCUGCGGAAGGAUCAUUGUCGAAUCCUGUAGAAGCAAACCGCGAACAUGUUUAAUCACAUUGGGAUUGUGGCGGGGGUAAUCUCUCGCUGCAUCCCCCUCCCUGCACGCUCUCACUUUAGUGGGUGUUGUGUGGGCUAACGAACCCCGGCGCGGUAUGCGCCAAGGAUUACUAAUGAAUUGUCCACCCACUCGGCCCCGUUUGCGGUGAGUUAGGGGGAGAGGAUGAAUCUCUAAUGUCAAAACGACUCUCGGCAACGGAUAUCUCGGCUCUCGCAUCGAUGAAGAACGUAGCGAAAUGCGAUACUUGGUGUGAAUUGCAGAAUCCC
This 353-nucleotide unclassified non-coding RNA is filed under the name Cistanche phelypaea subsp. phelypaea. RNAcentral describes it as "sequence contains 18S rRNA gene, ITS1, 5.8S rRNA gene". The stretch from base 271 to 353 matches the Rfam family "5.8S ribosomal RNA", at positions 1 to 83 of the family's 154-position model. The record is from RNAcentral. Lineage: Eukaryota; Viridiplantae; Streptophyta; Magnoliopsida; Lamiales; Orobanchaceae.